GGAGCCGCCGCCCGUCACGCGCUGCGGGAGCCGACGCAGGUUGCCGCCUGUCGCGCCCUUCGCCGCGGGAGAGCCGGAGCCGCCGCCCGUCGCGCGCCGGGGGAGCCACCGCAGGUCGCCACCCUUUGCCGCGGGAGAGCCACCGCAGGUCGCCACCCUUCGCCGCGGGAGAGCCGGGGCCGCCGCGAUCGUGAGCAGCCGCCCGCCCAUCCUCCAUCCCCACGCGGGCGCACCUUCCUUCAGCUCCUCCUCGCGCCGCCCCUCUCCUUUGCCCCAGCCGCCAAGACCCCGCGGUCGCUUCACCGGGUUGCGGCGCCGCCCCGCCCGAUAGCCUCCCAGCGGCCGCCUGCCGCCAUCCGCGCAGACUGCUUAACCGACGCCCGCGGCCGCUUCACCGGGCCACGGCGUCGCCCGCCCAUCCCUGCGUGUGCGAUGGCUGAAAAUUUCGAUCUGCGAUGGUGCACGGAGAUCAAGCAAUGACGGCAACAUCAUCGAGCUUUGCAGCAUUUUAGGUGGAAUGGUGAAUCUUGAAGCGAAAGUACCAAACGGUACGAGCACUUUCUGGCCCUAUAGCUUGAGUUGAAGCCUGGGAUAAAGGUCGUUUUUCUUAUGAAGAUCAAAUAACCCAUGGUUUUGGAUGUCAAGUGUGGAAUAGGCAGACCAUUAAGAGAAAUUCCAAGAUUUAGGUUUAAUUCCCGUUUCGCGCUUUCACCUCUCUUCAUAUCUGUGAAUACUGAUGUGUUCGGGUUUAGACAUUCUCAUAUGCAUGAUUAAUGCAACUGAAGUGAUUCAUGUUUUUCUUACUUUGAACUGAAAACCUGUGGGGGCAUGAUUUUGAGGAGGCGAUCCCGAGCACCAAUAAGUUAGAGAAGUUCGACCUCAACCUUUCCAGGAAUUAAUCUAUUUUGGAACGGAGGUCGCCACCAAGAACGGGUAACAUGGAGGCGUGCCUUAGCCUGGAGCCCAGCAAGAAGAUCAUCGGGAGCUUCGGGACAUUUGAGACGGCCGUUCUCCAUGUGGCCAACGCCAGCCAGCUGCAGGCAUUGCGCCGGCCUCGGCAGGAGUCGGUCAAGCCCAAUUGUAGCAUCUAUUGACCAAUGCAAGCUCCAUCAGGAUGUGCGUAGUGUCCAUAAGUUCCCUUUUGGCCAGUACAUGGAGAAAAAAACAUGGAAUGUACAACAAUCCUACAUGAAACAUUCUGAACGAAGUCUUAUUGAGCUACCCCUAGAAAUUUUUGCAGCUUCUGUGAACUCUUGUUUUAUGUUCUAUAGGGCCAACUUGCAUUUUCACGUCAAGCAUGGCUGAUUAUCAGAGGGCAAGGAAAGAUGGAGUAGCAGAAGCAUUGCUUACGAUGAGUUCAUCGGGUCAAUAGUGCACAUUAACAAGCAUUGCCUGUUGUCCGCCUUUGCCUACUUUGACGAGGACGAUAGCGGGUACAUCACCGUUGACCGCUGGAAGAGGUGUGCUGGGAGUACAACACAAGCUGACCGGCAUCGCGACAUCGCCAGGGAGGUCGGCAAUGACAACAUGCGAUGUUCAAAUUGACUAUGGAGAGUAUAUGACAACUCAUGCAGGUUCGUAAUGACUUGAAGAAAGCAUAUGAGAAGCGAGUAUAGGAGCUUUAAUAUUAGAGCAACAGGGGAGGAGCAAAUGAUUGAAGGGCUAUCAGCCGUGUAAAAGAAAGCUGAGGAUAACGUCACCAGGUGGAAAACUAUAUUUGGUUGACAUAAUAACACUAGCAAAGAAGUAUAGACGUUGAUGCAAAUGUAUGGAGCAGGGUAACCAACAGAUCCACACAUUUGGUCAGUGAUGAAUCAGUGCAACCUAUUGUGGGAGGGGAGGAUAUUCGAUCUGAGUAUGUCAGAGAGGAGGAGCAAGACAGAAUUAAUAAGGCAAUAAUUGUUUCCCUUUUAGUUUGGAUCUCUGUUGCUUCAUGAUGAUAUUAUCUAACUGAUGAAAAGGGAAUGUUGUACGUGACUGAUGAAAGAGUUGUUUCGCCUCACCAGGCAAGAAACUUUUGACCCAUCCCUGCAAUGUAUUUUCAUAGUGCCCUUGUAUAAGUAAAUGGAAAGAAUUCUGAAUGAUGAAGAGUGUCUUAUUGCAUUAGUUUUUUUAUAUCUGCAGAGUGUGCACAUGACUUUCUUCCCUGCCUUUACUUACUAAUGAAAAAUAAACAGCAAUGCAUGUUAUCUUUACUAAAUAAUAACACUAAGUAGGAAUUCAGAAUAAUAACAUAUUAAUAACAACGGGUAGGAAUUCUGAAUAAAAAUAGUGCAUGAGAAAUAUGGCAUGCACCUUAACAUAGAAAUGUCCUUUUCAAUUGCUCGGAUGUUAAUGUUGCAAAUGUUCUUUUCUUGUUCUCUUAAUAAUGGUUUCAGACAGAGAGUUGCGCCCAUGUUGUAUGCCAACAUUGGUCCUUAGAUUAGUCAAUUUUUGUUGCAGCAUAUGUUCUCUAUAGAUUUUUUUAGAAUGUCUAUGAAGUUUCAUCUGCAAGCUUUUGAUCCAAAUGGCUACAUCCUUAUAAGGCUAUUUCUUGUUUGUAAGAUGAAUAGUCUAUGUCAAGACUCAAGACUCAAGAGAAGCAAGAGUGCAUAGCAGUAGCAGUUGUUCAACCAAGCUCUGCGGUAUGGACUUUCUCUUGCACAGACAAUUGGUUUCAACAAGAUCAUAGUGAACUUGGACAAUCUGCAGGUUAUCAAUACAAUGAACGAGGGAGGCCGAUCACUGCACCCCGUGGCUGCAUUUUUUUGGUGAUUGCUAUCAAUGGCGUGCAAAUUCUAUUUUACUUCAUUUGUGCACUGUCCUAGGGAAGCUAAUAUUGUUGCACAUGGAUUAGCUAAGUUGGCUAAAUGCCCUUCUUGUAACAGUUUCCUUGAUAAGUCUCCUGGGGAGCUCAUCCCUCUCUUGCUAAA
Triticum dicoccoides is the source of this 2912-nucleotide long non-coding RNA. RefSeq lists it as uncharacterized. The record is from RefSeq and is a predicted model, not a curated record. The transcript has 10 exons. NCBI's taxonomy places the organism in Eukaryota, Viridiplantae, Streptophyta, Magnoliopsida, Poales, Poaceae.